AGGACGAACGCUGGCGGCGUGCUUAACACAUGCAAGUCACGGGGGCCCCGUAGCAAUACGGGCAACCGGCGAACGGGUGCGUAACACGUGAGCAAUCUGCCGAUCUCUGGGGGGAUAGCCAGCCUAACGGCUGGGUAAUACCGCAUACGCUCGUUGGGGGGAGUCCCCUGAUGAGGAAACCUCUGGGGAGAGUCGAGGAGCUCGCGACCUAUCAGCUAGUUGGCGGGUAACGGCCCACCAAGGCAGCGACGGGUA
RNAcentral lists this ribosomal RNA (255 nucleotides) under uncultured bacterium. Its description in RNAcentral is "partial small subunit ribosomal RNA". It matches the Rfam family "Bacterial small subunit ribosomal RNA", at positions 26 to 285 of the family's 1533-position model. The record is from RNAcentral.